CGGGUGGCGGUCGGUGGAGCUAAUAAUGCAUGUCUCAGCGAAUGGAUUAAUAGCUUGCUCUUAUGAAGUUAGCGGCGCCACGGGCGAGAAACACGUGUGUAAUCUGCCCAUCUGACUGGGAUAACUCCGGGAAACCAGGGCUUAUACCGGAUACCAUUUAGAACCGCAUGGUUCGAAAUUGAAAGGCGGCUUCGGCUGUCACUUAUGGAUGGACCCGCGUCCCCUUAUCUACUUGGUGAGGUAACGGCUCUUCAAGGAUACGAUGAUUAGCCGACCUGAGAGGGUGAUUUGCCUCUCUGAUUUUGAUACAUUGCUCAUACUCCUCCGAGAGGCAACAUCCGGGAAUCAUCCUUUUAGUUUAUUAACUUGUUUGACCACGUCGCGUUUACGAUGAAGGAUUUUGGGGUCCUCUCUCUGAUGCGGGGAAGAACGCGUGCUAGGUGAACCUGCUGGCACCUAGACGGCACCUAACCAGAGAGACCACGUUGACUACACUACUGGCAAGCAUUCCCGCGGGUAAUACGUAACUAGGUGACCAAGAGUGAUCUCUGGAAUUAAUGGGGGUACAAAAACGCUUGUUCCCAGGUGGUUUCUUAAGUCUGAUGUGAAAGCCCCACGGCUCAACCGUGGAGGGUCAUUGGAAACUGGGAGACUUGAGUGCAAAAGAGGAAAGUGGAAUUCCAUGUGUAGCGGUGAAAUGCGUAGAGAUAUGGAGGAACACCAAUGGCGAAGGCGACUUUCUGGUCUGCAACUGACACUGAGGCGCGAAAGCGUGGGGAGCAAUACAAGAUUAGAUACCCUGGUAGUCCACGCCGUAAACGACGAGAGCUAAGUGGUAGAGGGUUUCCGCCCCUUUAGUGCUGAAGUUAACGCAUUAAGCACUUCCGCCUGGGGAGUACAGCAGCAAGGCUGAAACUCAAAGGAAUUGAAGGGGGCCCGCACAAGCGGUGGACGAAGGUGGCUUAACCCCACCAGCAACGCUGAAGAACCAUACCACGUCUUGACAUCCUCCGAAAUUACCCUAGAGAUAGGGCUUCUCCUUCGGGAGACAGAGCUCAUCAGGUACCUGCAUGGCUGUCGUCAGCUCGUGUCAUGACAUAGUAUAAUCGGUUAAGUCCCGCAACGAGCGCAACCCUUGAUCUUAGUUGCCAUCAUUAAGUUGGGCACUCUAAGGUGACUGCCGGUGACAAACCGGAGGAAGGUGGGGAUGACGUCAAAUCAUCAUGCCCCUUAUGACCUGGGCUACACACGUGCUACAAUGGACGGUACAAAGAGCUGCAAGACCGCGAGGUGGAGCUAAUCUCAUAAAACCGUUCUCAGUUCGGAUUGUAGGCUGCAACUCGCCUACAUGAAGCUGGAAUCGCUAGUAAUCGCGGAUCAGCAUGCCGCGGUGAAUACGUUCCCGGGCCUUGUACACACCGCCCGUCACACCACGAGAGUUUGUAACACCCGAAGUCGGUGGGGUAACCUUUUUGGAGCCAGCCGCCUAAGGUGGACAGAUGGGGGG
This 1507-nucleotide ribosomal RNA is filed under the name Bacillus cereus. Its description in RNAcentral is "partial 16S ribosomal RNA". It matches the Rfam family "Bacterial small subunit ribosomal RNA". Lineage: Bacteria; Bacillati; Bacillota; Bacilli; Caryophanales; Bacillaceae. The record is from RNAcentral.